GUCAUAAUUUAUGAACUAUUUCUCUAUGCAUACAAAGCUACAGUUUAUUGAUCCAUAGGUUCUGGUAUGGAAGACAAGACGUCUGACAUCUAUUCUGAUCAGGAAGAAUGGCAGUUAUCAGUCCAUUUUUUUGGCCUAUUAAGUUUUGAUCUAGCAGCUGCCCAGGUAUAAUUGGUUUGACAACCAUUGAGCAACAUACAUUUUACGUCAGGAUCAGCAUGGAGCAGCUUCUGCUUUUUCAGCUGUUAGCAAAGGAAGAAGAAGCAGGAAAAAAGAUAGGAAGGAGAGAACAAAAGCAGGAAGGAAAAGAAGAGAAAAGAAAAGACUUUGUCAUGGGUUCAGCUGCUGCUAUGAGUCUCCAGAUGGAAUAGCUAUGCAUCUCACUGUCAUAUUUCAUCUUCUGCUAAAAAACAGCUGGGAAUAGAAUUGGACUGUCACUUGAUUGAGUCAGUGCCACCAAAUUUCACCAAGUUAAAAAUCCUUAUAUUGAAAUGUAUUUUCUCUACAGGUCAUUUAAGA
This 519-nucleotide long non-coding RNA is filed under the name Sarcophilus harrisii (Tasmanian devil). RNAcentral describes it as "lncRNA (ENSSHAG00000031632.1)". Lineage: Eukaryota; Metazoa; Chordata; Mammalia; Dasyuromorphia; Dasyuridae. The record is from RNAcentral.